This 301-nucleotide ribosomal RNA is filed under the name uncultured bacterium. RNAcentral describes it as "partial 16S ribosomal RNA". It matches the Rfam family "Archaeal small subunit ribosomal RNA", at positions 459 to 760 of the family's 1478-position model. The record is from RNAcentral.
CAGUAGCCGCGGGAACACCAGCACCUCGAGUGGUCAGGAGGUUUAUUGGGCCUAAAGCAUCCGUAGCCGGUUGCAUAAGUUUUCGGUUAAAUCUAUGCGCUUAACGUAUAGGCCGCCGAAAAUACUGUGCAGCUAGGGAGUGGGAGAGGUACACGGUACUCGAUAGGAAGGGGUAAAAUCCUUUGAUCUAUUGAUGACCACCUGUGGCGAAGGCGGUGUACCAGAACACGUUCGACGGUGAGGGAUGAAAGCUGGGGGAGCAAACCGGAUUAGAUACCCGUGUAGUCCCUGUCUCUUAUAC